GGUUGCGAUCAUACCAGCACUAAUGCACCGGAUCCCAUCAGAACUCCGCAGUUAAGCGUGCUUGGGAGAGAGUAGUACUAGGAUGGGUGACCCCCUGGGAAGUCCUCCUGUUGCAACCC
RNAcentral lists this ribosomal RNA (119 nucleotides) under Helianthus annuus (common sunflower). The record is from RNAcentral. Lineage: Eukaryota; Viridiplantae; Streptophyta; Magnoliopsida; Asterales; Asteraceae.